RNAcentral lists this ribosomal RNA (367 nucleotides) under Enterobacter sp. BV35. RNAcentral's name for it is "bacterial SSU rRNA". It matches the Rfam family "Bacterial small subunit ribosomal RNA", at positions 1016 to 1383 of the family's 1533-position model. The record is from RNAcentral. Lineage: Bacteria; Pseudomonadati; Pseudomonadota; Gammaproteobacteria; Enterobacterales; Enterobacteriaceae.
GCCUUCGGGAACUCUGAGACAGGUGCUGCAUGGCUGUCGUCAGCUCGUGUUGUGAAAUGUUGGGUUAAGUCCCGCAACGAGCGCAACCCUUAUCCUUUGUUGCCAGCGGUCCGGCCGGGAACUCAAAGGAGACUGCCAGUGAUAAACUGGAGGAAGGUGGGGAUGACGUCAAGUCAUCAUGGCCCUUACGAGUAGGGCUACACACGUGCUACAAUGGCGCAUACAAAGAGAAGCGACCUCGCGAGAGCAAGCGGACCUCAUAAAGUGCGUCGUAGUCCGGAUUGGAGUCUGCAACUCGACUCCAUGAAGUCGGAAUCGCUAGUAAUCGUAGAUCAGAAUGCUACGGUGAAUACGUUCCCGGGUCUUG